This 439-nucleotide ribosomal RNA is filed under the name uncultured bacterium. RNAcentral's name for it is "partial 16S ribosomal RNA". It matches the Rfam family "Bacterial small subunit ribosomal RNA", at positions 339 to 795 of the family's 1533-position model. The record is from RNAcentral.
CUACGGGCCGCAGCAGUGGGGAAUAUUGCACAAUGGAGGAAACUCUGAUGCAGCAACGCCGCGUGGAGGAUGACACUUUUCGGAGCGUAAACUCCUUUUAUAUAGGAAGAAGAUGACGGUACUAUAUGAAUAAGCGCCGGCUAACUCCGUGCCAGCAGCCGCGGUAAUACGGAGGGCGCAAGCGUUACUCGGAAUCACUGGGCGUAAAGAGCGUGUAGGCGGAUUAAAAAGUCAGAAGUGAAAUCCUAUAGCUUAACUAUAGAACUGCUUCUGAAACUCUUAAUCUAGAAUAUGGGAGAGGUAGAUGGAAUUUCUGGUGUAGGGGUAAAAUCCGUAGAGAUCAGAAGGAAUACCGAUUGCGAAGGCGAUCUGCUGGAACAUUACUGACGCUAAGGCGUGAAAGCGUGGGGAGCAAACAGGAUUAGAUACCCGGGUAGUC